Long non-coding RNA from Syngnathus acus (greater pipefish), 1293 nucleotides. RefSeq lists it as uncharacterized. The record is from RefSeq and is a predicted model, not a curated record. Lineage: Eukaryota; Metazoa; Chordata; Actinopteri; Syngnathiformes; Syngnathidae. The transcript is spliced from 3 exons.
UAUUACGUAGGGCCAAAGGUGAUGAGGUACAAACAUGUUUUAGCUUGAAGAGAGGCAUGCUAAGAAAGAGCCGCGACUCAGGAAUGUGAUCUCGGGAAGUUAAGCGGAACAAUUUGGUUUGGCUGCAUGCGUGAUGACACAUCCGAUGGUCGCUCGAGUGCUACGCUGAAACAGAGGAAUCCUUGGGGUGUUUGAUGUAUGCGGAGAAGACAUUCUUGAGGAACGCCUCCGAAUAUUUGAGCAGACACUUCCAUAUCUGAUUGGGACAACUAGACAGAAGCACAGAUGAGGGAGCAGUGCCACUUGGCUCCGAACUUCACACCAGCCUGAAUGCAAUGCGGACGAUAUGGCUCGGUGGCAGACUCACCAUGGAGGCCAUGUUGUUGCCGGUCUCCAUGGCCACAGCAGAGUAUUGAUCAGAGGGCAUCGCUGUCGCUGUGGCCGAUGGUGGUGACGACCCCUUCUCAAACCUGUCAGUCAAGCAAUCAAACCAGAGUGGCCGCAACAACGUGGAGAGGCCAAGGAAGGAUGGAGGACGAAGAGGGGCCCAUCAAGGGAUGGGGGGCAUCCAUAGAAAGGGAAUGGGGGGGCCCCACAUCAAAGUUUGCUGGCUGGAGAUUAUGGAGGCGAUUGUUCACUUCCUAAACGUGAGUGCGUGUGUGCAGAAUUCAAUUUGUGUGUGUGUGUGUGUGUGUGUGUGUCAGGGGGGCUUGGGUUCUCGUUGGGGCCACAUUCCUCAUCAGCCAUGUACUUUGGGAUCACUUUAUGGUCGGUCAACUCCACAAAAUGGCAGACAUUCUUCAUGCAGGCGUGCCACGUGACUCUGCCGAGCAAAAACAUACUUCCUGCAUCUGUGUCACAUGGGCGUGAAGCCCCGCCCCCUUUACACAGUCUUAAAUCUCAUUUAGCUGAGGUUGAAAAAAGAAAUUGGAUGUAUUUGUAGUUGGCCAUGUGUCUACUGCAUGUACCACAUGUAAAGAGCCGCUACACCUGUGUACCACUAUAUUAAUGAGGAACAAUAGCAGUUGAUAAUAUACUUCAUUAAAACAGACAGUCAAAUUCCAGUGUAAUUACAUAUAAUUCUGUCACAAUGCAUUCAUUGAAUUACGAUUGUGCUACCUCUUCUAGUGUGCCCAUGUUGGCCACCUCGGGUUAAUAAGACAGAUAGUACACAGAUUCAUUGAGACACAUCAGCUCUUCUCACCUCGUCAGUGCAACACUAAUAUUAGUUGUUCUUUGCAGAGGAUAUGAUUGUGAGAGCUGUUACGUUAUCUACUGUGUUCCUGCAAGGUU